AUUGCUUCUUGGCCUUUUGGCUAAGAUCAAGUGUAGUAUCUGAUUGGUUCCAGGUGCUGGUCUUGGACUGUCCUCUCCUGGAUCUCCAUGACUGACAAGUCACACCCACA
This is a small nuclear RNA of Heterocephalus glaber (naked mole-rat), 110 nucleotides long. Its record names the gene U2. It matches the Rfam family "U2 spliceosomal RNA". From Rfam's summary of the family: U2 is a small nuclear RNA (snRNA) component of the spliceosome (involved in pre-mRNA splicing). Complementary binding between U2 snRNA (in an area lying towards the 5' end but 3' to hairpin I) and the branchpoint sequence (BPS) of the intron results the bulging out of an unpaired adenosine, on the BPS, which initiates a nucleophilic attack at the intronic 5' splice site, thus starting the first of two transesterification reactions that mediate splicing. NCBI's taxonomy places the organism in Eukaryota, Metazoa, Chordata, Mammalia, Rodentia, Bathyergidae. The record is from Ensembl.